AGGAUGUUGGCUUAGAAGCAGCCAUCAUUUAAAAAGUGCGUAACAGCUUACUGGUCGAGCAGGUCUGCGCCGAUAAUGAACGGGAGUAAGCACGACACCGAAGCAGUAGAUUUAUGGUAGGAGAGCGCCGCAUAGCAGAUACAAGCCGUACCGAAAGGAGCGGUGUCGGGCUGUGCGGGUGAUUAUGCCGGAAUGAGUAACGAUAAGGCAGGUGAGAAUCCUGCCCGCCGAAAGCCUAAGGUUUCCUGGG
This 250-nucleotide ribosomal RNA is filed under the name Symbiodinium sp. Mp. Its description in RNAcentral is "partial Bacterial large subunit ribosomal RNA". It matches the Rfam family "Bacterial large subunit ribosomal RNA", at positions 1095 to 1359 of the family's 2925-position model. Lineage: Eukaryota; Dinophyceae; Suessiales; Symbiodiniaceae. The record is from RNAcentral.